CCCUAGUAACGGCGAGUGAAGCGGCAACAGCUCAAAUUUGAAAUCUGGCCUCGGCCCGAGUUGUAAUUUGUAGAGGAAGCUUUUGGCACGGCACCUGCUGAGUCCCCUGGAACGGGGCGCCAUAGAGGGUGAGAGCCCCGUAUAGCAGGACGCCUAGCCUCUGUAAAGCUCCUUCGACGAGUCGAGUAGUUUGGGAAUGCUGCUCAAAAUGGGAGGUAAAUUUCUUCUAAAGCUAAAUACCGGCCAGAGACCGAUAGCGCACAAGUAGAGUGAUCGAAAGAUGAAAAGCACUUUGAAAAGAGGGUUAAAUAGCACGUGAAAUUGUUGAAAGGGAAGCGCUUGUGACCAGACUUGCGCCGGGCUGAUCAUCCGAGGUUCUCCUCGGUGCACUCUGCCCGGCUCAGGCCAGCAUCGGUUCUCGCGGGGGGAUAAAGGCCCUGGGAACGUAGCUCCUCCGGGAGUGUUAUAGCCCGGGGUGUAAUGCCCUCGCGGGGACCGAGGACCGCGCUUCGGCAAGGAUGCUGGCGUAAUGGUCAUCAGCGACCCGUCUUGAAACACGGACCAAGGAGUCAAGGUUUUGCGCGAGUGUUUGGGUGUCAAACCCGCACGCGUAAUGAAAGUGAACGUAGGUGAGAGCUUCGGCGCAUCAUCGACCGAUCCUGAUGUAUUCGGAUGGAUUUGAGUAGGAGCGUUAAGCCUUGGACCCGAAAGAUGGUGAACUAUGCUUGGAUAGGGUGAAGCCAGAGGAAACUCUGGUGGAGGCUCGCAGCGGUUCUGACGUGCAAAUCGAUCGUCAAAUCUGAGCAUGGGGGCGAAAGACUAAUCGAACCAUCUAGUAGCUGGUUACCGCCGAAGUUUCCCUCAGGAUAGCAGUGUUGUUCUUCAGUUUUAUGAGGUAAAGCGAAUGAUUAGGGACUCGGGGGCGCUUUUUAGCCUUCAUCCAUUCUCAAACUUUAAAUAUGUAAGAAGCCCUUGUUACUUAGUUGAACGUGGGCAU
RNAcentral lists this ribosomal RNA (997 nucleotides) under Podospora australis. RNAcentral describes it as "LSU rRNA". It matches the Rfam family "Eukaryotic large subunit ribosomal RNA", at positions 78 to 1108 of the family's 3401-position model. The record is from RNAcentral. Lineage: Eukaryota; Fungi; Ascomycota; Sordariomycetes; Sordariales; Podosporaceae.